Molecule: ribosomal RNA, 2154 nt
Filed under: Triticum aestivum (bread wheat)
Lineage: Eukaryota; Viridiplantae; Streptophyta; Magnoliopsida; Poales; Poaceae
Description: partial small subunit ribosomal RNA
Source: RNAcentral
AUGGCGAUGAUGAUGGCUGAUCUUAGCUUUUCAGCGUCUAUAUCGAAUGCCAAACUACCAAGGUAUGGAAAUGACUCUUCCUUGGUUAAGAGAUCUUCAAUGUUCCGAGCAGAAGCCCGGUCCACAGAAUCCGAGAAAUAUACUACCAAUGGCCGAUCGAGGAAGAUGGUUCCAACAACCGAAUUGAUGAGGAGCAAGGGCGGUGGCCGUGCAAGAACAGAUACAGUUAAUGGUUCUCUGAAUGGAGCUGUCAAUGGCUCAACCAAGGCGGUCAUCAACGGUUCUACAAAUGGCGUUGUCAACGGUUCGACCAGAGCAGUCAUUAACGGUUCUCCAAAGGUGGUUGUUACUGGGACCAGUUUGGUGAAUGGCAGCAACAUGUCUUCUCUAGUUAAGACCCAGAAGCAAAUGAGUGCUAGAGAUGACCCCUUUGAAGAGGAGCUCAAGGUUUUGCCAUCUGACGAGGGAUUCAGUUGGGCAAAGGCUAACUACAACUCUGUGCAGAGGAGUAUAGAUAUCUGGUCUUUCGUGCUUUCUCUUCGAAUACGUAUUUUAUUUGACAAUGCAAAAUGGGCCUAUCCAGGUGGAUUCUCAGAGGAAAAUCAGAAAAUCCGGAGGAGAAACACUGCAUCAUGGUUAAGAGAACAAGUAUUGCAGCUUGGCCCAACUUUUAUCAAGCUUGGACAGCUAUCCUCCACAAGAUCUGAUUUGUUCCCAAAAGAAUUCGUUGAUGAGCUUGCAAAAUUGCAGGACAGAGUACCUGCAUUUUCUCCUGAGAAGGCAAAGGCUUUCAUAGAGAAGGAAAUGGGGUGCUCAGUUGAUGUUGCGUUCAAAGAAUUUGAGGACCGUCCAAUAGCUGCUGCUAGUCUUGGUCAGGUACAUCGUGCGGUGCUUCAUAAUGGAGAGAGAGUUGCAGUGAAAGUUCAACGACCAGGGCUCAGAAAACUUUUUGAUAUUGACCUAAGGAAUCUAAAGCUAGUAGCCGAGUAUUUUCAGAGAAGUGAAAAAUUUGGAGGUCCUUCAAGGGACUGGAUUGGUAUUUAUGAUGAAUGUUCCAAAAUUUUGUAUGAAGAAAUUGAUUACAUCAAUGAAGGAAAGAAUGCAGACAGAUUUCGUCGAGAUUUCAGAAACAUAAAAUGGGUUCGCGUGCCACUUAUCAUGUGGGAUUACACAACUGAAAAGGUGUUAACCCUGGAGUAUGCUCCUGGUAUUAAGAUAAACAACUUGGCGGUGCUAGACAGCCGGGGAUAUAGUCGUUCUCUGAUUGCAUCCCGUUCAAUAGAGUCGUACCUCAUUCAGAUACUGAAGACCGGUUUCUUCCAUGCUGAUCCUCAUCCUGGAAACCUUGCCAUAGACAAGGAUGGCUCUCUAAUAUAUUAUGAUUUUGGAAUGAUGGGUGAAAUCAAAUCAUUCACUCGAGAUAGAUUACUCUCCUUGUUCUAUGCCGUGUAUGAGAAGGAUGCGAACAAGGUUAUAAAAGCUUUAAUUGAUCUGGAAGCUCUUCAGCCAACAGGAGACCUCUCGCCGGUAAGAAGGUCCGUACAAUAUUUCUUGGACAAUCUGCUGAGCCAGUCACCGGAUCAACAGCAGACUCUAGCUGCAAUUGGAGAGGACUUGUUUGCAAUUGCGCAAGAUCAACCUUUCCGUUUUCCUUCCACAUUUACGUUCGUCAUAAGGGCAUUCUCAACUCUUGAAGGCAUCGGGUACAUACUGGAUCCUGAUUUUUCCUUUGUCAAAGUUGCUGCACCAUAUGCACAGGAACUGCUAGACUUGAAAACGAGACGAAGAGCUGGACCUGAAUUAGUCCAGGAGAUAAGAAAGCAAGCAAAUGAUGCCCGUGAUUCUACGAUCUCAAUGCCCUACAGAAUCCAACGGAUCGAGGAUUUUGUGGGGCAACUCGAGUCGGGUGAUCUGAAACUCAGAGUCAGAGUACUUGAGUCGGAACGAGCUGCUCGUAAAGCUAACGUACUUCAGAUGGCGACCAUGUAUACAGCCAUGGGUGGUACUCUCUUGAAUAUUGGGGUCGUCAUGGGUAGUCAAGGAAACCAAAUAGUCGCAAAUGGGUCUUUCAUCGGCGCAGGCAUUUUCUUGGCAUUAUUGGUUGCAUCUAUGCGAAGAGUGAAGAAACUCGAGAAAUUCGAGACGAUGAUGUGA